UCCUGUUGUAUGGCCAAGUGUAAGGAAUCUC
This 31-nucleotide non-coding RNA is filed under the name Homo sapiens (human). The record is from RNAcentral. Lineage: Eukaryota; Metazoa; Chordata; Mammalia; Primates; Hominidae.